AAAUCUGAUUAACCAGUGAGUUUUGGUGGGGAUCAGCCACCAAACGUCAGGGGGAAAGUUCGGUGUAAGUCCGGCGCUGUCCCGCAACUGUGAUGAGACUAUGCGUCUCUGAGUCAGAAUACCCGCUUGCUGGUGUUGUCAACU
RNAcentral lists this non-coding RNA (144 nucleotides) under Planktothricoides sp. TH3. The record is from RNAcentral. RNAcentral also lists the same sequence under 1 other name. Lineage: Bacteria; Bacillati; Cyanobacteriota; Cyanophyceae; Oscillatoriales; Oscillatoriaceae.